Molecule: long non-coding RNA, 10200 nt
Organism: Cavia porcellus (domestic guinea pig)
Lineage: Eukaryota; Metazoa; Chordata; Mammalia; Rodentia; Caviidae
Exons: 2
Source: RefSeq, a predicted model, not a curated record
UCUAUGGCCAGGGAGUCGCGGGCAUGGGGCUAAGGGGAGGGGGUCCAAUGCCAGUUGCUUAAAAAUGCCCCGUGGCAGUGAAGGGGGCCAGGGGCCGGGUCAAGUUAAUUGCGAAGCAGUGACACCCCCCACCAUUCCCCACACAGGCUGGCCCCCCAUCGUCAGGCCCAAGGAGCCACACCUGGACCAGACUCCAGGCAAGGGAAGGACAUGGCUGGUGUGGAAAAAGCAGACGCCCAGAGAAGGAACCUCCCAGGGACCAGAGGGAGCAGGUGGCAGGCAGUCCUGGCUGCAGAACUGUGAGUGUCCCCCAGUUCCUCCACACAUGCGUCCUGUGUGUGGCUCCUCUAGAGUACCUGGGACCCAGGGACCCCCCACCACGCUGUGCUGAUCCUCACUAGGCCUCAGCACAGCAAGGAGCAGCACUCGGUCAAGAAGGCCCUAGCUGAAGGGUGGCAGCAGGGGAAAUUGUUGGCCUUUGGGGUCUGAGCAAUGGAACCAAAGAAGGGAGAUGAGCAGGAGCUGAGACUCCGCCCACGCUCCCUAUGCAAUAGCCAGGCAAGCCUGUGUGAUUUGAUGAAGGGGGCUAGGGGAAGAUGUAGGAACGUAGCAAUCUUCCCUAGAAAGAGUGAAUAGGACUAGACUCUGGAGGCAGGAGGCCCCGGGGUAGUGUGACUUUGGAUAAGUCACUGAGCCUGGUGGUAACCAACAGUCUCCUUCAGCUUUGGAAAGGCUCUCAAAGCUGGGCUGUCUCCCAGGUGCACGGCAAGCUCCAGAAGGAAGAGCAGCAGUUUUACUGCCUAUUUACACACACUUGCCAACUGUGGGCACCUUCAUGCUCCUGCUAGAGGGCGGGGCGGGGUGGUGGCCUCAUUAAUACAGCUGGGGAAACUAAGGCCUAAGAAGUGAAGGGACUCACUCGGAGCCCUUGGGUCAGCAGCAGCAGACGGUCACUUGGUGCCACAUCUCCCAUGGACAGAAUAAAGGAAGAAAGGUGUGGAAGUGAGCAGAGGGAUAGAGAGAGGGGGAGGCAAGGGCCGGGGAUUUAGCUCAGCAGCAUAAGCACCUGCCUGGCAAGUAUGAGGUCAUGAGUUCGAUCCCCGCCUGGUACCGCAAAAAAAAAAAAACAAAACAAAACAAAAACAGAGAGAUGGGGAGACAGACUCCAGCAAGGAGUGACACUUCAAGGACAUGGGAGAAGACCCAGCCUCCCUUGCAUAAAGGGGCCCACCUGUUCUCCCCUCAUGUUCCCGAGUGUGCACAGACGUGCACUCUGGCACAGCACACACCCGGUCCUUGCUCUCCAGCAGAAGAGCCCCAGAGACGGGGCCUAAACAAAUCGGAUUAGAAGGCUGCAGGCGCCUCCUCCCUCCCUGUCCACUCCGACACUGAGCAGGCCUGCGGGCUGCCAGCUGCAGAGCCUCGGCCACACUGACAGCCAUCCCAGCCUGGGCCCCAGCCCUGAGCCCCAGGAAGGGGCCGGGGUCCCAGAGGAUGCCACAGUGAUGGAUGGGGUGAGGGAGGCUCCAGGGCCGCCUCUGGAGCACACAGGAUGUUAGUGCUUGUGUGAGGCAAUUUCCGAGUGUUCCCAGCCCACCCCUACCCCUGCUCCGCCCCCUUCCUCCGGCCUCUCCCAUGGUCAUUGCUGCCUGGCGGGGACUGGGGCACCAUCUGAGGCUCGGCAGAACCCAGGCCCUGUGCGUAUACACAUCUCUCACUUCUUAGUCCUGCAGCUGGGCUGAGUGGGAAGGGGUUGGCUCAGCAGACACUGGCCUGGGGAUGGCACUCACUGGGACUUUAGAGGAAGGAAACUGUGGGCAGAAAGCUGAGGCCAUCCUGAAGGUGGCAUCUCAGUGUUACUCGUGCAUCGUUGGGUUAACCCUCAAAAUGUGCUGGGAAGUAGGAGACUGCACAUAAUCCAGAUUGACCACUGGGGUUUCUUCAUCAAGCAUCCUCUCCCGAGCCCCUAGUCUGUGCCAGGCCCAGUAUGGUGCGAUGAGAACACAGAGACAAAAUACCCAUCACCCUCAUUCGGUUGUUUAUGGGGGUCACUCCCAGGGGACCAGGUCUGGGGACUGGGGCUUCCCUGGGCUUUUGCAGGAGUGAUGCCUACAAAGUCCCUUCUCCGCAGGGAUCAAAUGCUUCCCUCCUUCAAGGGGAGCCGGAGCAAUCAGCCCAGCCAGAACCCGACCUGAUGUCAGGCAGCCCCAGUUCCUGUCCAGCUCCGUCUCCAGCUGGACCACUGUGGUCAGUGCCGAGGCAGCCCCACACCUGUUCCUCCUCCUGCAAAGUGGUUAUAUGAAAGCUCCCACUCAUAGGGCUGACGGGAUUCAUCUCACUGUUGUCUGUACUCUCCUUCAGUAGAUGGAGAGACAGAAGCCAGGGGAGGAAGGGGCCCAGUUAGGUCAGCAGCAGGUGGGCGCCCUGCUCUCCGGAGUUCUUCCUCCCUGGCUCUUGUCCCACUACCCCCCUAAGCUGCCAGGGGCCAGGACAGUUGAUGGUUGGUCCAGGUGGGACGUGUCCUGGGCCCUGCCCAGCCUCACAGCAGCAGAGUCCCGGGGACGAGCGGUGGCCCCCAGCCCUCUGGGUGGCAGUAGAGGUGGGGAGCGCUCAGAGGGCUCCCAGCCCAGCGCAGCUGCCAUAUAAGGGAAGGAGCCCAGGAGCCUGCUCACCCUGGCCUGAGAGAAACCCCAGACAGCCACUGUUUAUUUCUCCUCGCAGCCUCCCCUUCUCCCGCCCCUCUGGAACGUCCAGAUAGAAGACAGAGAAUCCCCAGCAGGCCGGCUGGCGACAUUUCCUGGAGACAUGGGGAGAGGGAGGGGAAAUGGCUGCCCCCCCCCCCCGGAUCAGCCCCCCGGUGUGCCAAAAGCCCUCACUGAACCUCCAGGUAAAACAUCCACCUGGUUCAGCCUCCUUCUUUAUAGAAGGGGAAGCAAAAAUCCCAAGAGGAAAGUGCCCUGCUGAUAGACCACAGAGCCAGCUGCCGACAGAACCAGCCUCCCGACCGACACUGUCUCAGCUCCUGACUGGUGCUCCGGUGUGAAGGAGCCUUCAUGGGGUAAGUGAAACCAGAAUGACAUUGCCCCUCUCUGCAAGGAGGCAGGGGUUGGGACAAGCGCCACCUGCCAUCCCAGCAAGUAUGCGUGACCCAAAAGAAGUGUGCCUGGCACCAGAGAGCCAGGUUGGGGCUCCUGCCCAUAACUCUCCUUCCUCGCACCCCGCUACAUCCCUCUCCUCCAAGAAGCCUUCCAGCUCUCCCCGGAACAGGAGGCUCUGUGUUUUCUAAGCCUUCGUCAGUCUUGUCAUGAACUCUCCUUGCCACUUGGGUCUGUGUGUAUCCCUUUCCCUACUCAGAGCACUUCCCAUUUUUUGAUGUUUGUUUUGGAUACUGGGGUUUGAACCCAGGCCUUCCACACUAAGCUCUAUCUGCAGCCCUUUUUCACUUUGUUUUGGAGACAGGAUCUUGCUAAUUUGCUAAGUUGCCUGAGCUGGCCUUAAAUUUUCGACCCUCCUGCCUCAGCCUCCCGGAGUGCUGGAAUAACAGGUGUGCGACCAGAGCAUUUUCCUCCUCCCUCAGCCAGGCCACAUCAGUGCUCAGCCCCAUGUCCUUGGGCACAGAGGAGGUGCUUGAUUUGUCGAAUGAACGAGUACAAUAAUGAGACCUGAACCCAAAGGCCCGAGGGACCCAGCCUGGAGGUUAGUGAAGGGUUAGUGCAAUUGGUUACACUGCAUUGCAAAGCCUAGCACGGCACUUUGCUCUGUGCCCUCAGGAAGCCCCUACCAUGGAGCCUUAAGGAGCCACCAGGAUUAGCACGAAUAAACAUUCACUGGUGGGUUGGAUUGAAGUCGUUACCCAUGUGAUCAUUCUAGAACCAAGGCACAGAACCAGGCAGCUUCUAGCCAGGGCUGGGGAUAGACACCGUGCAGAGGAGUCACAGCUUCUGUCCGGUGUCACUUUCUCUGCCUCUGCCGCCCUGUCUGCACCCUGGGGUCAGCUGCCUGCUGUCUGUACCGCCCUUCUUCUGGGUGCAGUAGCCAUGGCCCCCCACAGCCCCACAGCGCUCUGCGGCUGGGCACCACCUCUUCCCUGCCAGGUCUGAGUGGAGCUGAUGCACUCAGCCUCCCUGGCUGCUGGGGUUCAGGGGCACUGCGCCCUGUUUCCCAAACCCCACCAUGCAGGUGCCUCCUUUUAAAUUUUUGUACGCACUCAUAAUGUUUUGGAAUGUAAGGUGAGUCCUGUGAGUACCUAAAGAGAAACAGUUACCAAAAAAUGAAAACGGUAAUAUGUCCAAAAGGGAAAAUAAUUGCAGUGAAAAUGAAACAACAUCACAACUUUGCUGACACUGUGGCUUGCAGGAUGCUGAGCCUGAAGCCUGGAUGGCGACAGAGGAGUCAGGAAGGAGUCAGGUGGCCACGCUGAGCCUUGCUCCCUGGACAGCAGGAUGGAAAGCAAAGCACAGAGGACACCAGAGCCACUCUCUUCCCAAGUGACUUAAUGCUCAGGCCACCAACUCCCAGAACUCCGCGCGGGGUCAGGCUGAGCGCCUCCUCUCCCAGGGUGCUGGAGCCGGGGGAGGGCGAGGGCCGCUGGUCCUAGCCAGGGGUGUCUGGGGUUACAAGUGCUCCCUGGCCAGAGACGGUUUGAAGAUUUUCUUUUCUUUCUUUUUCCCUCCUGGCCUUCUGCCGUCUUCUUUUUUAAAGGGGUCACUUCACCCUGGGUUCAUCCCCGUCUUUUUUUAUUUUGAAAGAGAAUCUUGCUAAGUUGCCCAGGCUAGAUUCGAAUUUGUAGUCCUCCUGCGUCAGCCUCCCAGAGUGCUAGAAUCACAAGUGUGCAAAAGAGUUUUUGCAAGAGGAAGACCAUUCCUUGACUGAGAAUACCUCUGGCAUGCGUCCCCUCAGCAGACCAUCAGAAGGGACCUGCCCCAAGCAAGAGGGUUAGAGAAAGACUCCCACUCCCCACAGAGUGUGGAUUGAGCCUUAGAUCAGACCCUGAUCAGACGGGCAUGGGAAGUGUUUCUUUUGUUUGCCAGCCCUGAGAAGGGCUGCCCAUACUCUUCAGAUAUCUCUGAACUGUAGGUCCCUGGCAUCAAGGCCACCACAGUUGCUAUCAGGCAAAGCAAGAGGGUACUCUGGGGAGCCCCAGGGUGCUGGCAGGCAGGAGGAGUGAGGGGGGAGGUAUUCCCACCCCAGCCAGGCCCAGAGAAGGAAGUGCAUGGUCUGCGUGGACAUUCAGUCUGCUAUACAUGGCGUCCUCCAGGUGUCCACUACUGUGGACAAAACCGUCCACCAGAUCUAGGGACUACAAAUUAACAGGAUAUGGCGCUCUGUCCUCAGAGAACUGGAGAUCACACCAAGUUAAAGAGGUGCAUUGCAGGGUGUAGUGGCUCACAACUGUAGUCCCAGCAUCUGGGAGGCUGAGGCAGGAGGAUCACCAAGAGUUUGAGGCCAUCCUAGGCUACAAAGUGAGGUCAAAGCCAUCUUGGAUUAUAUAGUGAGACCUUGUCUCAAAAUAAUUUUUAGGGGGCUGGGGAUUUAGCUCAGCAGCAUAAGCGCCUGCCUUGCAAGCAGGCAGUCGUGAGUUCGAUCCCUGGUACCGAUAAAAAGGAAAAAGACAAAAAAAUAAUAAUAAUAAUAAUAAUUUUUAAAACCUCCAAAACCAAAAAGCUAGUUGAAUAACUUAUUCUAGAGAGACAGACUGAGGGGUGAUCCACACUGCCUGACCCUGAUUUCUGGGAUAAGGGAAGUUAACCAAAUCCUUUCCCUCAAGAAUGGGCCAUCAGUCCAUGACAGGAGAUAUUCGUAAUGAAGGUUGCAUUUCCAGGGUGGUAAGGUGCCAUCAGGUGCAGUGACACACACCUGUAAUCCCAGAACUCUGGGCAGCUGAGGCAGGUAGCUCUCAAAUUUGAGCUCAUCCUAGAGGACUAGAAAUUUAACGAGACUCUGUCUCAAAAAACAAAAUAAAAAAAAAAAAUGGGGGUGGGGAGCUGGGAAUGUAACUGUAGAAAGUACAGAAGUGGAGAAGUUACAGAUGGGCGAGAUCACGGAACAGGCUGUCAUGAGGUUGAAAAGAGCCAGCCAGCUUCCCGGUGUGGUCCUUUGAGUGGGGACUGAGCACAGGAGGAGAUGGCGUGGGGAGCCGAGGGGCAGUGCACGUCUGGGGCUCCCUGAAGGAAGGGACACCUGCUCACCAGCUGGAGCAGCGAGCACGGGGACAGAGGCCUGAGAGGAGCAGGCAGAAGGCAGAUGGGUGACCCUCCGAGCUUCUCGAGGGUUCAGUGUGAGACCCAGGCAGGGAGGGCCCUUUGCAGAUUAUAAACCCAAAAAAGGUAGGACCACAUUUGCAUUUGAGGUCUUUGUUUCCGUUUUGAAAAUUCUCUCUGCGAGGGUGGCUGGUAAAAAGGGAGAAGUGGAGCACGAAAGAAAGGUAGGUACAAGGGCUUGAUGGUCACAAAAUCCAGGCUCAUGGCACUGUGUGGCUGCACCACGCAUAAAGACGGGGCCAUGGGCUCCAAAAGCUGGGUCAGAAUAGGUGAAUCUGUAGAGACAGAAAAUGGUCCAGCUUGGGUUGGAGUUAGCAGCAGGAGGAGGGGUUUUUGGUGUGUAGGAAGAUGAUAGACUAUUUAUUCUAAACUUGUGAAAACAGUUGCCCACCUUUGUGCAUAUUAAAAGCUUUUUAAGGAGCAGGAAAUGUAGCUCAGUAGUUACAACGCAUGUUUAGUUUGUGCUUGUGUGAGGCCCUGGGUUCAAUCCCCAACCCUGCAAGAAAGGAACGAACAAGGUUACUGCAUGGUGCACUUUAAAUGGGUGGAUUCUGUCACAACUAAAGGGGAAAGGCAAGCAGGGCUGGAGGUACAGCUCAGGGCCCGGCAGUAGCUCAGCAUCAGGUUCCAUCCCAGCUCUGUGAGGAGGGAGAAAGGUGGGAAGGGAGGGAAGGUUGGGUCUGGUCCAGCGAGCUCCCGCGGCUGCCAAGGACGGGAAGCACAGCUGGGGUGGCAGCAGAUGUCUCUGGGCAGCUCUAGAAGAGGGAGCCAGGAGGAGUCCCACCUGCGCCCGGCCACCAUGCCAGCAGCGUGGCCCUGUCCCCCAGCCUGAGGUGCAGUGCUGCAUCUCUGGUCAGUUGGGAGUCUGAGAUGAAGCACUGUAGCUCAGGAAGGGAGAAGUCGUUCUGCAGCCUCGGCCUGGAUGUGGUAAGUGGUGACCUGGGAGGCUGGCGGGGGGACUGUCCCCGAGCUCCAUAUCCUCUGCAGCUUUCUGUGCUGCCAGAGCCCUGGACUCCAGAUGCACCAAAGUUGCUCUGAUUCCUCUGUGCCCGUGGGUCCCUUAUUAACAUGAGGGGCCCUGCCAUUCAGGGUGGCCAGCACUCAGCCCCCUGCCUCUGUUUCCUCCUUUGGAGCCCAUGGCAGGGACCACUAACAGCCAGGCAGCUCUGAAGCUUUCUCAGCCUUUGUCCUGGAUAGCUGUGAGCCACUGUGAACAACUCAGAACCAAGCACAGUCCAAGUGGAAAUCAGACAGCUCCCAAAGACCCUUUAAACUCAGAGUCCUGGCCUCUGAGGUGGGGCUCAGUCUGAGCUCCUAUGUGUGGCUGUUUCAGAUGAGCAGUGAAUAGCACAAGAGAGCAGCUGGGCUGGGCAGUGUUGUCUAACUUCCCAACAAACGGUGAGGAGAAGGCAGUACAAUGGGCCCACUUGACAGAGGAACAAACUGAGGCCCAGGGCAGCAACUCACCUAAGGUUGGACCCUAAUCCUUCUGCCUUUGGGCCCAUGCCCUUACCCCCUGCCAUGAUUAUGGAACUAGUUGGGGAGCCAGAAAAGAACACGGCAAAUCCCACUCUGGUCUUGUCUUAAUGCUAUUGGCCAAAGCAGCCCCAGACACUUCCGUUAACACCAUGGGCUCACCCCUGCUCCUGUCCUAUUAACCCACCUGUUCUGUAGGUUUUCUAACAUCCCAUUUUCAGGCUAAGGGUUUCAAGGACUCGCUGGAGGUCAUCAGAGGACAUUGCCAACUUGAGUGAUGGCACACACUUUGCAAUGCCAGCCCUCUGGGAAGCUGAGGCAAGAAAAUCAAGAGUUCUAGUCCAGCCUGGAUAGUGAUUUAGCAAGACUCUAGAUUAAAAGAAAAAAUAAAAACAGGGCUAAGACUGUAAGGCUGGGCCUGGGGAUUUAGCUCAGCGGCAUAAGCACCUACCUUGCAAGCGCACGGUCGUGAAUUCAAUCCCUGGUACUGAUUAAAAAUAAAAAAAAAAUUAAAAAAAAACAAAAAACACUGUAAAGCUAUAGGCCCUGGGUUUUAGUCUUAGUGCAACAAAAAAAGAAAUCUGCCCUGUUCACCCUGUCUCGAGACUCUCGAGACACUUGAGCCAAAACAAUUAUGAGGGGAUUUGGGGGAGAGUCCCAGAUGGGUUCUCAUCCACAGCUUCACGGGGCUGCCUCAGUGGCGGAGAAGGUACUUUCCGGGGCCCUCGAAGUUCUGGUCACUAUUCUUCCAGCAACGAGCCACAUCCUGACAGCGUGGCACCUGAGCCAGCUGCUGCCACGGGGCUGACCGCAGAAGAAGCACGCCAGCUGGCUCCCGGGGGCCUGGGACAUGCAGGCCUUGGUGCUGACGGCCGCUCUCACACCUUGUCCUCACGGUCCAGUUUUCCCAGGAAUCCCUUGGAUGCUAAGAUGGGGAUUCCUGGAAAUACUGUUCUUGAGGUCACGGUUUAGCAGCUGGACUCACCUCACCCCCUCCCAGCUCUGCCCCUGCAGGAUGAGCGUCAAGAGGAGGACCAAGCCCUGGAGGUAAGAGGGCCCUGAGCCACAUGCUUGACCUUUUGGUUGCUUUUCUUUCCACUGCGUCCAUUUCAAAACAUUUCCAUGAGGCUAGCAAUGGAACUGUCCACACUUGGGAAACUCGUCCGAAGCCACACAGCUGCGCAGUGGCCGAACCAGGAUAAUUCCCUCCCAUGCCCCCCCCCAUCACCCUCUCCUCUGGAGGCCUUGUUACAAGGGGUCACAGCAUCACAGUCACAUUAUUGAGAAACUAAAACAUGCACCUGAAUUCGUUUAAAAAUUUUAUUAAAUCAGUCAGCCAGGUAGGGUGGGUGGUACAUGCCUGCAAUCCCAGCUACUCAAGGCUGAGGCAGAAGGAUCACAAGUUCAAGACCAGCCUGGAUGACAUAGAAAGGCCCUGUAUCGAAAAAAUAGGUUAAAAAAUUUAUUACAUCAGCCAGGUAAACUAAAGACCAUAAAUCUUUGCUCAAUUUGGAAUACAGCUACAGAAAAAUGAGUAAUUUUUCAUCAAGGUAGAGAAAACAAGACUCAGGGCGCCCCCUUGUGGUUCCUGUACCCAUUGCAGGAACUGUGGCCAUUUCACUCCUGGCUCACUCUUCAGCCAGAGACCUGCUUGAGCCUGACCUGCUGGCUCUUACCAGUGAUGCCUUCUUCACGGCUGCUUUCCUUCCAAAGCUUGAUGUCCUCUUUAAACCCAGCUAACGUCAGUAGAGUUAAUGAAGUUCCGCGAAGUACAAGGUCACACAGACAGUAAAAGGCAGGAUCAGAACUAGUUUCAAGUUCAGUGUCUUAGCAAUCUCUUACCCAAAAGAAAAACCUACAUAAAUUAAAAACAAAACCUGCCUCCGGGUAACGCUGACUGACUGGAUACCAAGAGCCCUGAAGUGGUCUAGGUGCACAGUUAAGCACUUUCCUCAAACCCUUCAUGGUGCUCCUUAUGGAGGUGGUGACAGCUUGUGGCCUCAGAGUCCUGACUCGGGGGUGUGAUCCCCACAUUCCCAGGGGCCAGGUGGCUGUGUUCCUAAUGCCACACUGGAGAUGAGUAUGAGCUGAGACCUCUUCCUGCUUGUGUGCGGACCCUGGCCCUGGCCUGACUGGAGAUCAGACCUGCUCAUAACAACAGUGGCAGUGGUAGCACUGACUGGGACUAUAGCUACACUGACAAAUGUCUCCUCCUCACCACGGCCCACUGCAGCAGGUUCUGCCAUUUGCUCCCUUCUACAGAUGAGAGGUUAGGACUCUUUCCUAAAGUUACAGGGCUAAGGAGCUACGAAGCUGGAAUCUAAUGGGAUCUAUGUAUAUGCUUUGAACCACCAUGUCGGGGUGCUUGCCACCAUUUGCCCUGGCCAGCAAGGCUGUCUCCAGGUGGCUUCUCCUUUGCUGUGGUCUCUCUGUGUUCUGUGACUAAUAAAGUGCUGGACCUUUG